GAUGAACGCUGGCGGCGUGCCUAACACAUGCAAGUCGAGCGAGAAAUAAAGAACAGACGCUUCGGUAGACGUUCUUUAUGGAAAGCGGCGGACGGGUGAGUAACGCGUAGGCAACCUGCCCCGAACACAGGGAUAGCCUCGGGAAACCGGGAUUAAAACCUGAUGACACCAUUUUGUCACCUGGCAAGAUGGCCAAAGAUUUAUCGGUUCGGGAUGGGCCUGCGUCUGAUUAGUUAGUUGGUGAGGUAACGGCUCACCAAGGCGACGAUCAGUAGCCGACCUGAGAGGGUGAUCGGCCACAUUGGAACUGAGACACGGUCCAAACUCCUACGGGAGGCAGCAGUGGGGAAUAUUGCACAAUGGGCGAAAGCCUGAUGCAGCAACGCCGCGUGAACGAAGAAGGCCUUUGGGUCGUAAAGUUCUGUCCUAGGGGAAGAAACAAAUGACGGUACCCUUGGAGGAAGCCCCGGCUAACUACGUGCCAGCCGCCGCCGUAAAAC
RNAcentral lists this ribosomal RNA (500 nucleotides) under uncultured bacterium. RNAcentral describes it as "bacterial SSU rRNA". It matches the Rfam family "Bacterial small subunit ribosomal RNA", at positions 28 to 526 of the family's 1533-position model. The record is from RNAcentral.